CCAAUAUGGCAUGAAAACUAUAUUACAUAAAAAUAUUGAAUAUAUAAAUAUGUCAGGUAAGAGAGUGACAUUGUAUUUAUUUGAUGCAUUUAGAUGCAGUCCCUGGACAUUUGCUACUUUGAAUGCAACUACUCUCAACCACCCUGUUGGUGAGCUUGGACGCUCAGGAAAAGAAGGGCUCUGGCUUAGGAAGGAGCAGUUUGCUACAUUAACAAGCUGAGCCGUGAAAGGAUUAGAUCCGCUAAGUGAGUGCCUGUUCCCUGCACCAUUGCUAAACACAUUUCAGAAAGCAGUGGAUUUGCCUUAAAUGAGUAUCUGCUGGAGGAGCAAAGCCCUAGGAAAACAAAGGGGCGCGGCAGGUACAGGGAAAAUGAUGUUGUACGGUUGGGGCGGCAAGCGACAAUCUCUCAGAACUGAAGAAGAUUACAGACUUUUUGGAAAGUAGCUAUGCCAGGGGAGAUCAAACCACUUCUGGAAGCUGAGAGGGAUCAAGAAGGAACGUGGAUCUCAGCGAACACUACUGGUGGAGGACAGAAUGCAAAUGAAGGGUUGACUUUAAAAUGAG
Molecule: long non-coding RNA, 565 nt
Organism: Camelus dromedarius (Arabian camel)
Lineage: Eukaryota; Metazoa; Chordata; Mammalia; Artiodactyla; Camelidae
Exons: 4
Source: RefSeq, a predicted model, not a curated record